UACGUAGGGUGCGAGCGUUAAUCGGAAUUACUGGGCGUAAAGCGUGCGCAGGCGGCUAUGCAAGACAGAUGUGAAAUCCCCGGGCUCAACCUGGGAACUGCAUUUGUGACUGCAUGGCUAGAGUACGGUAGAGGGGGAUGGAAUUCCGCGUGUAGCAGUGAAAUGCGUAGAGAUCCGGAGGAACACCAGAGGCGAAGGCGGCCUACUGGGCUGCACCUGACGCUGAGCCGCGAAAGCCAGGGGAGCGAACGGG
This 253-nucleotide ribosomal RNA is filed under the name uncultured bacterium. Its description in RNAcentral is "partial 16S ribosomal RNA". It matches the Rfam family "Bacterial small subunit ribosomal RNA", at positions 524 to 776 of the family's 1533-position model. The record is from RNAcentral.